CCCCCGCCCUCUCUGCUCCACCGGGGUCUAGGGAGGACCCCUGGGAAGGGCUCCACAAGCCUCCAGCCCCCGCCUCCGCGGCAGGGCUCCAAGUGUCCACUAGAGGGGGCUGCCGUGGCAGAAAAGCUUGCCGCAGAGUGGGUGCCUGGGGCAUCAGGCUGGCGGGGUGGUCCCAGCCUUGGGGUCCCUGGCAGGAGAACUAGGGGGACAGCUGGACCACUGGCCAGUGGGAAGACUGGCAAGAGCUCUUUGUCCUGGUGGGGACAAAGAUGGGGGGGUGGGGAGGUCUCGUCUGGGUCCAGGCUCUGUGUAUUGUCUGGGGGGCUGUCAAGCUUGGUUCCUCCGGCCCUGGGGGGUCCUGGUCAGUGUCCAGCUGCUUCUGCCCAGCAUGGAUCCAGGCCAGGGCCCCCUCGGCAGUCAGCAGCGAGGAAGCCACCUCCCCAGGGCCAGGACCUUUUCAGACCACCCCCAGCCAUCCGUGGGUCGGGACCAUGUCCCAGGAGACUACGGAGCCUGUACCCGGGCCUGGGCCUCUGCUGUUGUGAAGACCUGCCCCCUGCCGACGUCUCACCUCCUCCAGCAGGUUCACCCUGGACUGCCUGCCCC
Molecule: long non-coding RNA, 606 nt
Filed under: Homo sapiens (human)
Lineage: Eukaryota; Metazoa; Chordata; Mammalia; Primates; Hominidae
Description: HSALNT0156923
Source: RNAcentral